CCGCGGUAAAACGUAGGAAGCGAGCGUUAUCCGGAUUUACUGGGCGUAAAGCGUGUGUAGGCGGUUUGAUAAGUUGGAUGUGAAAGCUCCUGGCUUAACUGGGAGAGGUCGUUCAAAACUAUCAGACUUGAGAGUGGUAGAGGGAGGUGGGAUUCCGGGUGUAGUGGUGAAAUGCGUAGAUAUCCGGAGGAACACCAGUGGCGAAAGCGGCCUCCUGGCCCAUUUCUGACGCUCAGACACGAAAGCUAAGGUAGCAAACGG
This 261-nucleotide ribosomal RNA is filed under the name uncultured bacterium. RNAcentral's name for it is "partial 16S ribosomal RNA". It matches the Rfam family "Bacterial small subunit ribosomal RNA", at positions 515 to 775 of the family's 1533-position model. The record is from RNAcentral.